Molecule: ribosomal RNA, 761 nt
Filed under: Pseudomonas sp. Y4_273_3
Lineage: Bacteria; Pseudomonadati; Pseudomonadota; Gammaproteobacteria; Pseudomonadales; Pseudomonadaceae
Description: bacterial SSU rRNA
Rfam family: Bacterial small subunit ribosomal RNA
Source: RNAcentral
GCAGUCGAGCGGUAGAGAGAAGCUUGCUUCUCUUGAGAGCGGCGGACGGGUGAGUAAUGCCUAGGAAUCUGCCUGGUAGUGGGGGAUAACGUUCGGAAACGGACGCUAAUACCGCAUACGUCCUACGGGAGAAAGCAGGGGACCUUCGGGCCUUGCGCUAUCAGAUGAGCCUAGGUCGGAUUAGCUAGUUGGUGGGGUAAUGGCUCACCAAGGCGACGAUCCGUAACUGGUCUGAGAGGAUGAUCAGUCACACUGGAACUGAGACACGGUCCAGACUCCUACGGGAGGCAGCAGUGGGGAAUAUUGGACAAUGGGCGAAAGCCUGAUCCAGCCAUGCCGCGUGUGUGAAGAAGGUCUUCGGAUUGUAAAGCACUUUAAGUUGGGAGGAAGGGUUGUAGAUUAAUACUCUGCAAUUUUGACGUUACCGACAGAAUAAGCACCGGCUAACUCUGUGCCAGCAGCCGCGGUAAUACAGAGGGUGCAAGCGUUAAUCGGAAUUACUGGGCGUAAAGCGCGCGUAGGUGGUUUGUUAAGUUGGAUGUGAAAUCCCCGGGCUCAACCUGGGAACUGCAUUCAAAACUGACUGACUAGAGUAUGGUAGAGGGUGGUGGAAUUUCCUGUGUAGCGGUGAAAUGCGUAGAUAUAGGAAGGAACACCAGUGGCGAAGGCGACCACCUGGACUAAUACUGACACUGAGGUGCGAAAGCGUGGGGAGCAAACAGGAUUAGAUACCCUGGUAGUCCACGCCGUAAACGAUGUCA